RNAcentral lists this transfer RNA (71 nucleotides) under Bos taurus (domestic cattle). It matches the Rfam family "tRNA". From Rfam's summary of the family: Transfer RNA (tRNA) molecules are approximately 80 nucleotides in length. Their secondary structure includes four short double-helical elements and three loops (D, anti-codon, and T loops). Lineage: Eukaryota; Metazoa; Chordata; Mammalia; Artiodactyla; Bovidae. The record is from Rfam by way of RNAcentral.
UCCCAGGUGGCUCAGUGGUAAAGAAUCCACUUGCCGAGAAGGAAACCCAGGUUUGAGUCAUGGCCUGGGAA